Molecule: ribosomal RNA, 201 nt
Filed under: uncultured methanogenic archaeon
Lineage: Archaea; Methanobacteriati; Methanobacteriota
Description: partial 16S ribosomal RNA
Rfam family: Archaeal small subunit ribosomal RNA
Source: RNAcentral
CCCUACGGGGCGCAGCAGGCGCGAAACCUCCGCAAUGUGAGAAAUCGCGACGGGGGGAUCCCAAGUGCCAUUCUUAACGGGAUGGCUUUUCAUUAGUGUAAAGAGCUUUUGGAAUAAGAGCUGGGCAAGACCGGUGCCAGCCGCCGCGGUAACACCGGCAGCUCUAGUGGUAACAAUUUUUAUGGCCUAAAGCGUCCGUAG